This 446-nucleotide ribosomal RNA is filed under the name uncultured bacterium. RNAcentral's name for it is "bacterial SSU rRNA". It matches the Rfam family "Bacterial small subunit ribosomal RNA", at positions 330 to 793 of the family's 1533-position model. The record is from RNAcentral.
GCCAGACUCCUACGGGAGGCAGCAGUGGGGAAUAUUGCACAAUGGGGGAGACCCUGAUGCAGCGACGCCGCGUGAGUGAAGAAGUAUUUCGGUAUGUAAAGCUCUAUCAGCAGGGAAGAAAAUGACGGUACCUGACUAAGAAGCCCCGGCUAACUACGUGCCAGCAGCCGCGGUAAUACGUAGGGGGCAAGCGUUAUCCGGAUUUACUGGGUGUAAAGGGAGCGUAGACGGUGAUGCAAGUCAGAAGUGAAAGCCCGGGGCUCAACUCCGGGACUGCUUUUGAAACUGUGUAACUGGAGUGCAGGAGAGGUAAGCGGAAUUCCUGGUGUAGCGGUGAAAUGCGUAGAUAUCAGGAGGAACACCAGUGGCGAAGGCGGCUUACUGGACUGUAACUGACGUUGAGGCUCGAAAGCGUGGGGAGCAAACAGGAUUAGAUACCCCUGUAU